CGAGGUGUUGUGCCCUGAGAACUGAAUUCCAUAGAUGGUGGCUACUGGAGAUGUCAUCUAUGGGCUCAGUUCUUCUGGCAAGGCACUGCUUA
Molecule: non-coding RNA, 92 nt
Organism: Salmo salar (Atlantic salmon)
Lineage: Eukaryota; Metazoa; Chordata; Actinopteri; Salmoniformes; Salmonidae
Source: Rfam